This 870-nucleotide ribosomal RNA is filed under the name Agaricus bernardiiformis. RNAcentral describes it as "eukaryotic LSU rRNA". It matches the Rfam family "Eukaryotic large subunit ribosomal RNA", at positions 71 to 928 of the family's 3401-position model. Lineage: Eukaryota; Fungi; Basidiomycota; Agaricomycetes; Agaricales; Agaricaceae. The record is from RNAcentral.
AGGAUUCCCCUAGUAACUGCGAGUGAAGCGGGAAAAGCUCAAAUUUAAAAUCUGGCGGUCUUUGGCCGUCCGAGUUGUAAUCUAGAGAAGUAAUGCCCGUGCUGGACCGUGUAUAAGUCUCCUGGGAUGGAGCGUCAUAGAGGGUGAGAAUCCCGUCUUUGACACGGACUACCAGUGCAUUGUGGUAUGCUCUCAAAGAGUCGAGUUGUUUGGGAAUGCAGCUCAAAAUGGGUGGUAAAUUCCAUCUAAAGCUAAAUAUUGGCGAGAGACCGAUAGCGAACAAGUACCGUGAGGGAAAGAUGAAAAGAACUUUGGAAAGAGAGUUAAACAGUACGUGAAAUUGCUGAAAGGGAAACGCUUGAAGUCAGUCGCGUUGGCCAGGGAUCAGCCUUGCUUUUGCAUGGUGUACUUUCUGGUUGACGGGUCAGCAUCAAUUUUGACCGCUGGAAAAGGGCCUGGGGAAUGUGGCAGCUUCGGCUGUGUUAUAGCCCCUGGUCGUAUACAGCGGUUGGGAUUGAGGAACUCAGCACGCCGCAAGGCCGGGUUUCGACCACGUUCGUGCUUAGGAUGCUGGCAUAAUGGCUUUAAGCGACCCGUCUUGAAACACGGACCAAGGAGUCUAACAUGCCUGCGAGUAUUUGGGUGGAAAACCCGAGUGCACAAUGAAAGUGAAAGUUGAGAUCCCUGUCGUGGGGAGCAUCGACGCCCGGACCAGAACUUUUGGGACGGAUCCGCGGUGGAGCAUGUAUGUUGGGACCCGAAAGAUGGUGAACUAUGCCUGAAUAGGGUGAAGCCAGAGGAAACUCUGGUGGAGGCUCGUAGCGAUUCUGACGUGCAAAUCGAUCGUCAAAUUUGGGUAUAGGGGCGAAA